AGAGUUUGAUCCUGGCUCAGGACUAACGCUGGCGGCGUGUCUUAGACAUGUAAGUCGAACGGGUUGCUAUUUUGUAGCAAUACAGAAUAGCGCUAGUGGCGAACGGGUGAGUAAUACAAAAGUAACUUUCCUUAGAGUGAAGAAUAAUCUCGAGAAAUCGUGACUAAUUCUUCAUAUUCUCAAUAGACAUAUGUCUAUUGAGGAAAGGCUUCGGCCGCUCUGAGAUAGGCUUUUGACCUAUCAGUUUGUUGGCGGGUUAACAGCCCACCAAGACUACGACGGGUAGGGGGUGUGAGAGCAUGACCCCCCACAUGGGAACUGCGACACGGUCCCAACUCCUACGGGAGGCAGCAGUCUAGAAAUUUGGGCAAUGGACGAAAGUCUGACCCAGCGACGCCGCGUGAGGGAUGAAGUCUCUCGGGAUGUAAACCUCUGUUGAGGGGAACGAUAAUGACGGUACCCCUCGAGGAAGCCUCGGCUAACUCCGUGCCAGCAGCCGCGGUAAUACGGAGGAGGCAAGCGUUGUCCGGAAUCACUGGGCGUAAAGGGUGUGUAGGUGUCCUGGUGGGUCAAGUGUGAAAUCCAACAGCUUAACUGUUGAAGUGCACAUGAAACUAUCGGGAUUGAGGACAUGAGGGGAGAGCGGAACUCGCGGUGUAGCGGUAGAAUGCGUGGAUAUCGCGAGGAAUGCCGAUGGCGAAGGCGGCUCUCUAGUAUGUUUCUCGUAUGAGAAGCUGAAUAAUUUUAAUCUUCGGGUUUUGAUUAAUCGGUCCUGACACUGAAACACGAAAGCUGGGGGAGCGAACGGGAUUAGAUACCCCGGUAGUCCCAGCCCUAAACGAUGUACACUUGGCAUGCGCUAUAUUGUGCGUGCCGUAGGUAACCUGUUAAGUGUACCGCCUGGGGAGUACGCUCGCAAGGGUGAAACUCAAAGGAAUUGACGGGGACCCGCACAAGCGGUGGAGGAUGUGGUUCAAUUCGAGGCAACGCGAAGAACCUUACCUGGGCUUGACAUGCUGAUAGUACUGAACCGAAAGGUGACGGAUACCACCUCUGGUGGAAAGUCAGCACAGGUGCUGCAUGGCUGUCGUCAGCUCGUGCCGU
RNAcentral lists this ribosomal RNA (1104 nucleotides) under uncultured bacterium. RNAcentral's name for it is "bacterial SSU rRNA". It matches the Rfam family "Bacterial small subunit ribosomal RNA", at positions 8 to 1068 of the family's 1533-position model. The record is from RNAcentral.